RNAcentral lists this ribosomal RNA (432 nucleotides) under uncultured bacterium. RNAcentral describes it as "partial 16S ribosomal RNA". It matches the Rfam family "Bacterial small subunit ribosomal RNA", at positions 29 to 507 of the family's 1533-position model. The record is from RNAcentral.
AACGAACGCUGGCGGCAUGCCUAACACAUGCAAGUCGAACGAGACCUUCGGGUCUAGUGGCGCACGGGUGCGUAACGCGUGGGAACCUGCCCUAGGGUCGGAAUAACUCCCCGGAAGGGGUGCUAAUACCGGAUAAUGUCUUCCGACCAAAGAUUUAUCGCCUUUGGAUGGGCCCGCGUUGGAUUUGCUAGUUGGUAGGGUAAAAGCCUACCAAGGCGACGAUCCAUAGCUGGUCUGAGAGGAUGAUCAGCCACACUGGGACUGAGACACGGCCCAGACUCCUACGGGAGGCAGCAGUGGGGAAUAUUGGACAAUGGGCGAAAGCCUGAUCCAGCAAUGCCGCGUGAGUGAUGAAGGCCUUAGGGUUGUAAAGCUCUUUUACCCGGGAUGAUAAUGACAGUACCGGGAGAAUAAGCUCCGGCUAACUCCGUG